Molecule: long non-coding RNA, 1618 nt
Filed under: Nicotiana tabacum (common tobacco)
Lineage: Eukaryota; Viridiplantae; Streptophyta; Magnoliopsida; Solanales; Solanaceae
Description: long non-coding RNA (NTAB_LNC007071)
Source: RNAcentral
UUUCAAUUGUGCAUGUGCACUGUUAGCACUUAGCAUUGAUUAUUCAUUGAUUGUUAAACCGAAACCGUACCGAACCAAAAUAAGAAAUACCGAACCGUACCAAAAUAUUUUGGUAUGGUAUUUGGUAUACACAAUUGAUAAACCGAAUACCGAAAUACCGAACCGAAAUUCUUACCUACCGAACCGAAAUACCGAACGCCCACCCCAUAAUCUAAAGCAUGCUACGAUUUUCAUAAGUUAUUAUCUAAACCACUUUCAGAUUCAAAGAAAACCACAUGUUCGGAAGGCGCAUCCUGAAAUAAAGAUUACAGCAUAUGAAUCUACACCAUAACACUAAACGCAUGAUUAUAUUUGUUCGAAUUAAACUACAAGAUUUGAGAAACACUUCCAUCUCAAGAAUCAACAAUAUAAAAAUUUAAACAGAGGAAAUGAAAAUAACUUAAGCAGGCACAUGUUCCUGGAGGAUUCUGUUGGAAGAUGUCGAUUAAAUAUUCUUGCUAUCUUACACAUAUUAGGACUCAGAAAUUAUAGGAAUAGACAAAUGCACUAUACAAUCAUCUCAUGUCAAAGAAAAUGGAAAAGUUCCAUGUUUUCCCAUCACGUAAGAUUCAAAAUAAAGCAUUGAAAGUUUUCAAAAUCCACAAAAGUUUAAUACAUGUUCAAAAUGUAAACUUUCUCAGUUUCCUCCAGGUAAAGUAAACGAACAACUUCAAGCAUCAGAAUGUGGCAGCCUAUGGUAUUAUUACUAGAUCUGGAUGAAGUGGUAGACGUCUGACUUUUAGUUUGUAAAGCUGCAAUUACCUUCUGUUGUAUUAAAGUUCAGACGUUCCCCGGCCCGUUAAUCUUCUUUAAAUGCUAGUGAUUUAUGCAUUUGUUCAUCUGUUUAAAUAUACAAAAAUAAUCCAUAGCAACAAUGACACAGGAGAGCAUGUACUCUUUCUAUAGAAAACUCCAAAUACCAAACUGUCAUCCUAGUCCAAGCAUAGCCGCAAAAGAAAUUUAAAUCAUUCGAACUACUACUGAAAGCAAAUUAGAUGUAGAUUCAACAAAAUCAUAGCCAUUCUCACUUUCAAAGAGACAUAAUUAUAAGAGGGGAUUUGUCAUGUGUACCUAUUUGCAAGGAAUAUCAGCUAAACAAAACCAAAUACAGAUCUGAAACUGGGCGAUGGAGCUCAAUCAGUGAAAGAAGAAACAACGACAGCAAAUCCAGAUUCUUCUUCUUUUUUUUCUAGAAUUUUCAAAGCUUUUUGCAACCCAGAUUUUCAAAGCUCUCAUGGAUUCAACAAUCAACCAUCAGUUUUGGAGAGUCUAAAUACUCUUAUAAUCCCAGAAAAUAACAAGCCAAUCAACUGAAAUCCUUUUUUAGAAUAGUUGAGUGAGAGAUGAGUGAGGUUAGAGAAGGGGAUUUUAGAGGUGGUUCGUUCUCUGUUUCUCUCUAUCUCGGCGACGACUAGGAUUCAAGGGGGAGGGGUUCUGUUCAUUGGUGCCCCUGUUUUGAGAAGAUGAUGAUGAAGAUCAAGAGGGUGCAUCGUUGCUUAAGGAUAAGGUCUUUUGUCUAGGUCUUAGCUGCUAGUUUCUAAUUUUUUGGGAGGGUCCUUUGGAAAAUGGGAGGUUUUAA